UUAUUUGAUAAAAGAUAAUUAACCAAAACUCAUUUUACCAAUGACAUGCUCUCUUGGCCUGCCUAUCAUUGGUCUGCGAGGCUAAUAGUGUGUCGGCCCAGAACGGUCCAUCGCGUCCCCUACCCUACAAAUUUGACCCCUAAACCUAACUCUCAACAUUAAAUCCACCCCUCUCCCAAUCUCCACAGCCGACGGCAAUCCCCCACCUCUACCUCUCCCUCCCCUACACCCACUCCAUCGAAGCCUCCCUACAGAUCUGGCGACGCCUCCGCUAGGCGGGAUGGCCACGAUGUCCAUGUGCUCGGCAUCGAUGGUGGCCGCACACGGGACGACCCCAACGGCCGUGCCUGGGAUGGCCACUUCGGAUCUCGGCCUAGUGGACAAUGACGACCAGAUCUACCGGCUGGGAGGAUCUCGGCUGCCUCCUCGACGACCUCUCGUCGGCCACAACCAUAUCAUUUGGGAGGUUGGUUCAUAAUGAAUAAGGAUAACGUCCGAUUACCUUUUGUGUACUAUAUAAUGCUCACUACCACCUACUAUUUGUUCUCGCAUUGGGAUCUCUUUUGUGGCUGUGCGCGGGAUGGCCACUUCGGAUCUUUGCCUAGUGGACAACGACGACCAGAUGUACCGGCAGGGAGGAUCUCGGUUGCCUCCUCGGCGACCUCUUGUCGGCCACAACCAUAUCAUUUGGGAGUAUUUGUUCUCGCAUUGGGAUCUCUUUUGUGGCCAUGCGCGGGAUGGCCACUUAGGAUCUUUGCCUAGUGGACAACAACGACCAGAUCUACCGGCAGGGAGGAUCUCGGUUGCCUCCUCGGUGACCUCUCGUCGGCCACAACCAUAUCAUUUGCGAGGUUGGUUCAUAAUGAAUAAGGAUAAUGUCUGAUUACCUUUUUUGCAACAGAUAAUGCUCACUACCACCUAGUAUUUGUUCUCGCAUUGGGAUCCCUUUUGUGGCCGUGCGCGGGAUGGCCACUUCGGAUCUUGGCCUAGUGGACAACGACGACCAGAUCUGCCAGCAGGGAGGAUCUCGGUUGCCUCCUCGGCGACCUCUCGUCGGCCACAACCAUAUCAUUUGGGAGGUUGGUUCAUAAUGUAUAAGGAUAAUGUCCGAUUACCUUUUGUGCAAUAGAUAAUGCUCACUACCACCUAGUAUUUGUUCUCGCACUGGGAUCUCUUUUGUGGCCGUGCGCGGGAUGGCCACUUUGGAUCUUGGCCUAGUGGACAACGACGACCAGAUCUACCGGCAGGGAGGAUCUCGGUUGCCUCCUCGGUGACCUCUCGUCGGCCACAACCAUUUCAUUUGGGAGUAUUUGUUCUCGCAUUGGGAUCCCUUUCGUGGCCGUGCGCGGGAUGGCCACUUCGGAUCUUGGCCUAGUGGACAACGACGACCAGAUCUGCCGGCAGGGAGGAUCUCGGUUGCCUCCUCGGCGACCUCUCGUCGGCCACAACCAUAUCAUUUGGGAGUAUUUGUUUGCAUUGGGAUCUCUUUUGUGGCCGUGCGCACGAUGGACACUUCGGAUUUUGGCCUAGUGGACAACGACGCCUAGAUCUACCGACAGGGAGGAUCUCGGUUGCCUCCUAGGCGACCUCUCGUCUGCCACAACCAUAUCAUUUGGGAGGAGUCAAAAAUAACUAGACGAGGGGAUAAAGCAAUUCAUUUGAAUGAGCCACCAUGCAGCGAACAAAGGAAUCGAUAGAACACCGUCAUGGGAGGUCGGCCAAACCUUGCCACCAUGCGCACAUUUGGAAGGAUGCUACAUUGCUAUCUCUACCAACAAGGUGUUCCAAUGUGGAAAUAUCCAAGAGCAAAAGUGAAUCAUCAUUCUUGAUUAACACAUGAUUCACUAUAACCAAGUAGUAUUUGUGAUUGAAAUCUUCUUUGUAAAGUAUGUCCAUAUAUGUACUAAUGUUACGAUCAUAUAUACUAGUGAUAUUGUUUACAUAUAAAGGAAAAUGCCUUUCAAUUCACUAAGCAUGAUGAUGCAUAUUUGGGGUAUUUCAUAUGCAUGGAUGAAUAGUUUUUUUGGGUACUGACGUGCAUGAAAGCUUGGCUUUAUCAGCUACAACAAAAGGAUCGCCCUUUCUGUUAUGAAUAUGUCAAAAAAGUAUGGUAUGCUAUUACAAGUAAGUAUUAGUUUCGUGACUUAGUGGAUAAUAAAAUGCAAAGCACAACAUGUCUCGCAAUCGACUGAAUCCAUCGAAAAGGCUACCAGUUCUUCGUUUGUAAGCAAAGGAAAAGAAAAACAAGUAGUACAAGCAAAACUAGCUAGCUCUAACCUCUAAGAGAUACCAACAAUUGAUUCCAUGAAAAGAAUAGCAUGCCUCUUGUUUUGCGAACAAUAGUUUGCCGCUUUCCUAGCAGAUUUUGAUUAUCAAAUCGUCAAAAGUGCGUGCGUGAUCGCCUUUGGUUGCUUGCGUGCGGGGAGCGUUGGCAGGUGAGCGGUGAACGUACCAGGGUUCAUGCACGUCCAUGCGAGUGACGUCCUUGAUAUCCUCAGGCUGCGUUUAAGUGUCUGCUCGAGUCUAUAGAUGAUGAUCAAACGAUGAGUCACUGAAGUUGCAGACGAGUACACGCUCAACCACAUCUGCAGACGAGUACACGUUCAGUGACGCGGUGUGCAUGCCAGUAUGUGCGUGUCCUAUUGUACAUAUACAGAAGAAAAAAAAGUCCAGCUGGAAGAUUCAAGCACACGCACGGUUGCAGCUGUUGCAUGCAUGCGACGUUAGGAGUGCACUGGCACACCGCCCGCCGCUUGUACUCGCCUGCAAAUGUACGUAUUUGUCAAACGUAUUUCGUGGCAACUUCAGUUAGAUUAGAUAGGCGGCAGUGACUCAUCGUGAGGCCAUCAUCAUCCAUAGACACGAGUUCCUGACGCUUACAGCCAGCCUGGGGAUAGAGAGGCCGACACUCGCAUGGACGGACGGGCGCCUAGGUGCAGCCGAGAACGCACCAGUCCCCUCGCUAAAAAAAAAAGAGAGAGAGAGAAAGAGAACACACUAGUCACAGAGUUUCAGUUACCCGUUGCUGUGCUGUAAAGUGCUGCAGCUUCACUGUGGAAAAGAACAACGAGUUGCUCGCGGAUCGGCGGAGUCUCGCCUCCUCCGGUGGCCGGUCGUCUGAGCGACGUGAGGAAACGGAAGCAACUAGUAACCGAAAAGGAACGACCGAACGAGAGCGAGGAAGGACCGGCGCCGCCCGGGCGGCGAGAUCUUUUUUUUUUUUGAAAGAUCCAGGGAUUCCUGGCUUUUCAUUGAUUUAGCAGAGAGCAAUGGGGAAAACAAACAUGGGGAGGGGGGUGACCCGUAGGUCAAGGAGUGAAGAGAAAAGAAAACGGAGAGAAAGAGAAAAAACUAGGGUUUUCAAGGUUACAUAUUCCCGAACGGGGGCUCUAGGCAUGUUGCGCCCGCGGCUCGCCACAGAUCGAUGGCUCUCCUGAUGGAUGCAACUACCUCAGAGACGGAGGCCACCUUGCCCCUGAAAGUGCAGUCGUUUCUUUCUCUUCGGAUUUCCCACAGAGCCAGGAGGAUGAGGGAGUUGACAGCUUUUCUGAAUGCUGGGCUGGUGUCGUUGAUCAUCUUGGUGGCGAUCAAUGUGGAGUUCGGUAGCGGUUGCCAUCUGGUCGGGUCGACGGCGCCACAUCCGGUCCACGCCGCCAGCCUCUGCCAUACCACCCUAGCAAAGUUGCAUUGCCAGAAGAGGUGCGUCGCCGU
Aegilops tauschii subsp. strangulata is the source of this 3711-nucleotide non-coding RNA. The record is from RefSeq and is a predicted model, not a curated record. Lineage: Eukaryota; Viridiplantae; Streptophyta; Magnoliopsida; Poales; Poaceae.